This 324-nucleotide long non-coding RNA is filed under the name Lathyrus oleraceus (garden pea). Its description in RNAcentral is "Pisum sativum (pea) long non-coding RNA (PSAT_LNC008266)". Lineage: Eukaryota; Viridiplantae; Streptophyta; Magnoliopsida; Fabales; Fabaceae. The record is from RNAcentral.
UUCAAUUAAACAGUAAAUUAAAUCAAGGAAAUAAAACUGGAAUAUAACGUAAGGUUAAAUCCAGUAUAAAGUUGCACAAUAGUUUCCGGUGUAGAAACUAUUAUGCGAAAAAAUAUCUAAAAGUUAAAAUUGGAAAGGUAAAUUUGCAAGGGAAAAAGAAUGUAAAGCUUGCAAAAGAAAUAAAUAAAAUAAACAAUGCUGGAAAAGAAAAGAAAAAUAAGCAAAAGGCGUGAAAAGAAAAUUUGGCAGAGCUUCGGUGUGUGUAGACGGCAGAGAGAGGAGAGUUCUUUUAGGUUUUAAGGUAGCUAUUUAUAGUAGUGCUAC